This 253-nucleotide ribosomal RNA is filed under the name uncultured bacterium. Its description in RNAcentral is "partial 16S ribosomal RNA". It matches the Rfam family "Bacterial small subunit ribosomal RNA", at positions 524 to 776 of the family's 1533-position model. The record is from RNAcentral.
UACGUAGGGGGCAAGCGUUGUCCGGAAUUAUUGGGCGUAAAGAGCUCGUAGGCGGUCUGUCGCGUCAGGAGUGAAAACUCGGGGCUUAACCCCGAGCCUGCUUCUGAUACGGGCAGACUAGAGGUAUGCAGGGGAGAACGGAAUUCCUGGUGUAGCGGUGAAAUGCGCAGAUAUCAGGAGGAACACCGGUGGCGAAGGCGGGUCUCUGGGCCGAUACUGACGCUGAGGAGCGAAAGCGUGGGGAGCGAACAGG